CAGUAUGAGUUAUAUACAUUGCUUGUAUUCAAUGGCCAAUGUUAUCCCCACUCAGACAUUUCGACAAGCCAAUCCAGUUUUAAAUGAUCAACAAAUACAUGAAGAACAUAUGUUGCCCUUUCCUAUGGAUCUUAACCAAACAACAACAAUGGAUGCAAUGCAAACUAGAGAUGGUAUUGAUGAUACUAUAAUGGAGGAUCGUGGUCAAUAUUUUCCUGGAUAACCAUUAUGGUGUAUGAUACUUUAUUGUAAUGGAUUAUUUAUUGAGUGUGUAAACUCUAUUUAGAAAUUGGAUCUUGGAUGGAGUGGCUUGUUUUUUCAAGAUAUAGACAU
Molecule: long non-coding RNA, 333 nt
Organism: Cryptomeria japonica (Japanese cedar)
Lineage: Eukaryota; Viridiplantae; Streptophyta; Pinopsida; Cupressales; Cupressaceae
Exons: 3
Source: RefSeq, a predicted model, not a curated record